GUGCUCUCUCUCCCUUCCACUGGCUCUGCCUUUUCAUCUUUGUAAGAGUACAAAGGGGAAAAAAACCUAUCUUCUUAAAGGCUGAGCUUGUCUGCUGGAAAAAUGCCCAUUUGCAGGGAAUAAAGUUUGUCAUGGUGAGACACCAGACCUCUGACGAGGCUCAGGUAACCUCGCGUGCACGGUGCCAACAAAGGGGCCCUGUCAGCCCUUGUAGAAGGCACUGAGACUUCAGUCAGCCCUGACUCCCAGAAGAUGAGGAGUGUGCUGCUGAAGCGCUAGGCUGUGGAUCCUCGGAUCUCUUGGUUCAUGGAGGAGCUGCAGAGGCUUGGCAUGAAGAUGAAAAGGUGACAACAGCAGCAGCAUCCCAGAGUUUGUGAUCACACAGCCAGAUGAGGCCCUUUGCAAUGCUCAGCUUUUGAAAUCAGCGCAGCAUGGAAGGCAGUGGGAGCACACCAGUGACACCAGGAUGGGGUCCCCAUGCACAGACACCUGGGUUCAGCAAGCAGGACUUGCCCUUUGUUGUGGGCUACCAGCUCCCUUCUGUCUCAGCUUCAUUUUUUCUGGGUAAUGCACCCCAUUGUAAAUAGAUCAAUUGCCAGCAUUAUGUAACAUAAAGAAAGAGAGCUCGCUACAUCAUUUUUUCAUAAUUAUACAAAAAUAAAAUGAGUG
Molecule: long non-coding RNA, 669 nt
Organism: Hirundo rustica (Barn swallow)
Lineage: Eukaryota; Metazoa; Chordata; Aves; Passeriformes; Hirundinidae
Exons: 3
Source: RefSeq, a predicted model, not a curated record